Molecule: non-coding RNA, 627 nt
Organism: Malus domestica (apple)
Lineage: Eukaryota; Viridiplantae; Streptophyta; Magnoliopsida; Rosales; Rosaceae
Source: RefSeq, a predicted model, not a curated record
CUCUCUUUCUCUCUGUAUUCCCUCAGUCUUUCUCGAAACUAAAUCUCUCAUCUCUCUCCCGUAUCCCUCGCAUCCCUCCCGUGAACACGCACGCACGCACGAAGGAAAAACAACACAGGAAACCUCCGGCGAAUCUUCUUUUUUUCCGGCUAGGUCGAGAUCGACACACGGGGUGAGCACACCCAUUUCUCCGACGAACCUGUGAGCGCCGUGGACUUUUCUGAGCAAAUCCGGUCAAUUCAAUUCGAUUUGAAGGUAUAGAUGAAUAUGAGACUAAAUUUUUUGUAUCGAGUUCAGGCCAUGGGUCUCCCAUAUGAUCAAGUGCUGAAAAUUUCAAUAAAAAUUAGUGAAAAAUACUGAUAUGUUGAGUAUUUGGUGUACCCUGGAUGACUCUCACAAGGCAGAUUUCAUUAAAAUAUUUAUGGAUGACAUCUGAGCAUUAGGGGGUUUAGUAUGAUAUGAAUGAACUAUAUCAACUUCUGGGGUUUAGUAAGACAUUAUCUUUCUUUUCUUUUUUCUUUAAGUCAAGAUGAAUGUUUAAUUUGGGAUUUCAUGUUUAAGCUCUGGAUAUUUCAUGUUUAUUGCUUUAGCAAGAUAAUAUCAUUAAACUUCUAUAUUUUUCAUCCU